UGUCCGGAUUUACUGGGUGUAAAGGGCGUGCAGCCGGGUCUGCAAGUCAGAUGUGAAAUCCAUGGGCUCAACCCAUGAACUGCAUUUGAAACUGUAGAUCUUGAGUGUCGGAGGGGCAAUCGGAAUUCCUAGUGUAGCGGUGAAAUGCGUAGAUAUUAGGAGGAACACCAGUGGCGAAGGCGGAUUGCUGGACGAUAACUGACGGUGAGGCGCGAAAGUGUGGGGAGCAAACAGGAUUAGAUACCCCGGUAGUCCACACUGUAAACGAUGAAUACUAGGUGUGCGGGGACCGACCCCCUGCGUGCCGCAGUAAACACAAUAAGUAUUCCACCUGGGGAGUACAAUCGCAUGGUUGAAACUCAAAGGAAUCGACGGGGGCCCGUCACAAG
This 389-nucleotide ribosomal RNA is filed under the name uncultured bacterium. RNAcentral's name for it is "bacterial SSU rRNA". It matches the Rfam family "Bacterial small subunit ribosomal RNA", at positions 542 to 929 of the family's 1533-position model. The record is from RNAcentral.